Molecule: transfer RNA, 88 nt
Filed under: Streptomyces morookaense
Lineage: Bacteria; Bacillati; Actinomycetota; Actinomycetes; Kitasatosporales; Streptomycetaceae
Description: tRNA-Ser
Rfam family: tRNA
About the family: Transfer RNA (tRNA) molecules are approximately 80 nucleotides in length.
Source: RNAcentral
GGAGGCUUGCCCGAGCGGCCGAAGGGAACGGUCUUGAAAACCGUCGUGGCAGCGAUGUCACCGUGGGUUCAAAUCCCACAGCCUCCGC